CACGUAGGAUUCAAGCGUUAUCCGAAUUUACUGGGCGUAAAGCGCAUGCAGGCGGUUUGGUAAGUUGGAUGUGAAAGCUCCUGGCUCAACUAGGAGACGCCGUUCAAAACUACCAGACUUGAGGACAGUAGAGGAAGAUGGAAUUCCCGGUGUAGUAGUGAAAUGCGUAGAUAUCGGGAGGAACACCAGUGGCGAAGGCGGUCUUCUGGACUGUUUCUGACGCUCAGAUGCGAAAGCUAGGGUAGCGAAUGGG
Molecule: ribosomal RNA, 253 nt
Filed under: uncultured bacterium
Lineage: Bacteria
Description: partial 16S ribosomal RNA
Rfam family: Bacterial small subunit ribosomal RNA
Source: RNAcentral